CGGAGAAACGAAACUUAAUGUUAAAAGAGCCAAAUGGGCGGAACGACAAUAUAAACACAGAUGAUGCGCACAGUAAUAUGAAACACCUGAUUGUGAUGAGUCAGUCAGUGAACCGGUCAGAAAUAUUGACUUCAUGUUUGUCUUUAAGCGACGGUUGGAGAAGGUGGUGAACAGCAUCAUUUGAAAAAAUACCCCAAAGUCCUGUUGGGAGGUUUGCUGUAGCGGUGUGUCACACCAGCACAGAGGACGGAAGCCAACCAAGAAGAAUUGCAUUUAUACAGUACACCAAAGGCUCCUGAUCAGACAGUAUGCAAAAACAGUUGUGACCAGUGGGUGGACUAUGUAUGUAGAAGCCAUGGUGGAUAUCAAUAUCAAGUUCACUCGUGAGGAUGCCAAAGAUGACUGUCUGGCCUUUUUGGACUGUUCGGUCCACAUAGGAGGAGACAGAAGCCUUAAGGUGGAAGUAUAUCAGAAACUUGCACACACGGACCAGUACCUUCUUUUUGACUCACACCAUCCACUACAACACAAAUUAGAGUUAUCAGAACCCUAGAUCACAGGGACAAGGAAGUGCCCACCACUGCAGAAGGGAUCAAGAAGGAGAAUCUACACAUCCAGAACUCCCUUAAGGUUUGUGGAUACCCUAAGUGGGCCUUCACCAAAGCAAGGAAGAGGCUCAGCACCAACAGGGAUAAACUAGGAACAAGAGGGGAUAACAAUGCCAUAUCCCUUAUGUGGCUGGUUUAUCAGAGAAGCUGUUAGG
Molecule: long non-coding RNA, 763 nt
Organism: Monopterus albus (swamp eel)
Lineage: Eukaryota; Metazoa; Chordata; Actinopteri; Synbranchiformes; Synbranchidae
Exons: 3
Source: RefSeq, a predicted model, not a curated record